Molecule: transfer RNA, 74 nt
Filed under: bacterium
Lineage: Bacteria
Also listed under: 1 other name
Description: tRNA-Gln
Rfam family: tRNA
About the family: Transfer RNA (tRNA) molecules are approximately 80 nucleotides in length. Their secondary structure includes four short double-helical elements and three loops (D, anti-codon, and T loops).
Source: RNAcentral
UGGGGAAUCGUCUAAUGGUAGGACGACGGGUUUUGGUCCCGUUAAUCUAGGUCCGAGUCCUAGUUCCCCAGCCA